This is a non-coding RNA of Pelobates cultripes (western spadefoot toad), 931 nucleotides long. NCBI's taxonomy places the organism in Eukaryota, Metazoa, Chordata, Amphibia, Anura, Pelobatidae. The record is from the annotation of a GenBank genome assembly.
CCGCUCUUGCCACAGAGCACGUAAAUCCAUCCUAUUAAAAAUAGAACCCAAGCUCAUUAACAUGGCAAUUAGAGAACCAGGCCCUCAAGCCAAAGGUUUCCUGUUCGGAGAUUCAUUUGUCAAAGACCUGGGCGCAUAUGUCCAAACAUUUACUGCCUUGGACAAGGCACAAUUAAACAUGAAAAGGGUGUUCCACCCAAAGGUUUUUUCUGGGGCCGGCAGAGCAAGGGGCCGUCUGUCCGGUAGAGUUAAUAGAGGUUCAUGCAAAACAAACAGAGGCUCCUACAUGGGGAGACCCCCCUUUCCAGAACAGAGGUCCACUCCGACGUUAUUCCCCCAAAGAGGCAGAUCAUGGGUGUCGAGAGGCUCACAAGGCGCUCCUUCCGGAAGACGUCCUUACGGUAAGCUACCUACCUAAUUUUUCUUCUCCUUUAGCAAUAGGGGGCACAUUUUUGCCUACGUGAUUGGCUUCAAACAUCGGACUGGAUGGUAAAACUUUAUCUACGAGAUGCCUACUUCACGGUGCCCAUUGCAGAGGCCCAUCAGGACUUCCUGCAAUUCAAGUUUCAAGGAAGGAAAUGGCGGUUCCACUGCCUUCCCUUCGGUCUCUCUUCCGCGCCUUGGUGCUUCACCAAGCUCAUGAAGCCAGUUAUCGUUCUUCUACGUAGUUGGGGGAGUUGUCUAAUCAUUUACUUAGACAACAUCCUACUGGUAUCCCAAUCGGUGCUCCUACUUCUUACUCACCUCGGUUGGACCACAACCUUACUACAGAAACUAGGCUUCAUUAUCAACUGGCAAAAGUCCAUACUAGUUCCUACUCAGCGGAUAGUUUCUAGGCCUCCUAGUGGAUUCGGUAAUGCAAACCCUAUUCUUACCUGUCUCCAAAAUGAGGAAUAUCAAAAAAGAGAUAAGGCCUGUUCUAGCCUCCCCG